CCGGCGUACAGGUGCUGCAUGGCUGUCGUCAGCUCGUGCUGUGAAGUGUUGGGUUAAGUCCCGCAACGAGCGCAACCCCUGCUAUCUGUUGCCAGCAAGUGAUGGUUGGGGACUCAGAUGGAACUGCCGGUGACAACCGGAGGAAGGUGGGACGACGUCAAGUCAUCAUGGCCCUUAUGUCCUGGGCUACACACGUGCUACAAUGGCCGGUACAGAGCGCAGCGAAGCCGCGAGGACAAAGCGAAUCGCAAAAAGCCGGUCUCAGUACGGAUUGGAGUCUGAAACCCGACUCCAUGAAGUUGGAAUCGCUAGUAAUCGCGCAUCAGCAUGGCGCGGUUGAAUACGUUCCCGGGCCUU
This 357-nucleotide ribosomal RNA is filed under the name uncultured Spirochaeta sp. RNAcentral describes it as "bacterial SSU rRNA". It matches the Rfam family "Bacterial small subunit ribosomal RNA", at positions 1027 to 1382 of the family's 1533-position model. The record is from RNAcentral. Lineage: Bacteria; Pseudomonadati; Spirochaetota; Spirochaetia; Spirochaetales; Spirochaetaceae.